This 473-nucleotide ribosomal RNA is filed under the name uncultured bacterium. RNAcentral describes it as "partial 16S ribosomal RNA". It matches the Rfam family "Bacterial small subunit ribosomal RNA", at positions 28 to 507 of the family's 1533-position model. The record is from RNAcentral.
GAUAAACGCUGGCGGCGCACAUAAGACAUGCAAGUUGAACGGACUUAAUCGAAAUAUUUCUAUUUUGAAGCGGUUAGUGGCGGACUGGUGAGUAACGCGUAAGGAACCUGCCUAUUAGAGGGGAAUAACAGUGAGAAAUCAUUGCUAAUACCGCAUAUGCCAUAGAUAUCACAUGAUAACAGUGGGAAAGGAGCAAUCCGCUAAUAGAUGGCCUUGCGUCUGAUCAGAUAGUUGGUGGGGUAACGGCCUACCAAGUCGACGAUCAGUAGCCGGACUGAGAGGUUGAACGGCCACAUUGGGACUGAGAUACGGCCCAGACUCCUACGGGAGGCAGCAGUCGGGAAUAUUGCGCAAUGGAGGAAACUCUGACGCAGUGACGCCGCGUAUAGGAAGAAGGUUUUCGGAUUGUAAACUAUUGUCGUUAGGGAAGAGAAAGGACAGUACCUAAGGAGGAAGCUCCGGCUAACUACGUG